CUUUACUGCAACUUGACGUUGGAACUUGGCUGUAUUUGUGUAGGAUAGGUGGGAGACUUUGAAGCAGGGCCGCCUGGUCUUGCGGAGUCGUCGUUGAAAUACCACCCUGGUGCUGACGAGUUUCUAACCGUGUCCGUGAGCCGGACAUGAGACAGCGUCUGGUGGGCAGUUUGACUGGGGCGGUCGCCUCCUAAAAGGUAACGGAGGCAUUCAAAGGUCCCCUCAGCGUGGUCGGUAAUCACGCGCAGAGUGCAAACGCAUAAGGGGGCUUAACUGCGAGACCGACAGGUCGAGCAGGUACGAAAGUAGGAGUUAGUGAUCCCGCGGUUUAGCGUGGAAUUGCCGUUGCUCAAUGGAUAAAAGGUA
This 366-nucleotide ribosomal RNA is filed under the name uncultured organism. RNAcentral describes it as "bacterial LSU rRNA". It matches the Rfam family "Bacterial large subunit ribosomal RNA", at positions 2099 to 2465 of the family's 2925-position model. The record is from RNAcentral.